ACCGCCUCCUCAUGGAAAAACAAAAAGUUCGCAACCGCCUCGGUGCCACUUCUCGCUCCUUUCCGGCCACGCCACGCCACGCAGACGCGAUCACAGCCUCCCCGCACCACCGAUACCUAGCGCCGCCUCGUCCCCCGCCGUCGACGCGCCUCCGCGAGACGGGACCCCGCCAUGCCGAUCUCAUCCUCUCUCUCCGCGCGCCUCGGCCCCGGUCCCGCUCCCGCGCCCGCACGGUGGGGCCCUUACGCCCGCCCCUCCGAACCCCGCAGGACCGGCGCCGGAAGCGGCUGCGCCAAGGCCUCCCGCCCGCCCCUCCGCCUCGAACCCGCGACGGAGAGACUCCUCGGGCCCGCGCGGAGGGCUGAAUCCCGCGGAUCGAGUCGCGGCGCCGCAGCCCCUACACCUGCACGACGGCGGCUUGGAGACCUGAAGAAGUCGGACCCGAAGACUGAUCCCAAGCCGGCGGGGACGAAUCCAGAGCCGAUCCAGGAGCCGCGCGUCGAGGAGAGCCGUGGCUGCGGCGGUUUCGCUUUCCUCUGCGCCCUCGCUGGACACGAGGAGGCUAUUACUGGAAUCUCUAUGCCGAUGGGGUCCGACAAGCUCUACUCUGGCAGUGCCGAUGGCUCUGUUCGCGUAUGGGAUGGCAACUCUGGCAAGUGCGUUGAUGUCAUCAAGAUGGGAGGGAAGAUUGGCUGUAUGAUCACACAUGACAAGUGGGUAUUUAUUGGAAUCCCAAAAUCCGUGGAGGCAUGGAACACACAGACAGGGAUGAAGCUAAGUCUUCAGGGACCUUCUGGGCUUGUUUGUUCCAUGACUAUCAAGGAUGAGAUGCUGUUUGCUGGCACGGCGGACGGACGCAUCAUGGCUUGGAAAUUUCCUGCUAAGGAGAUCAACUCGGAACCGGUGUCAAUCCUCGCUGGCCAUGACCGUCAUGUGAUUUCACUUGCUGUCUCCGCAACAAGGCUUUACUCUGGCUCACUUGACAAGACAAUCAGAGUAUGGGACCUUAAAAAUCUUCAGUGUGUCCAAACACUCUCUGAGCAUAAAGCUGCUGUUACUUCUGUGCUUUGUUGGGAUCAGAAGUUACUAUCUUGCUCUCUGGACAAGACUGUAAAUGUCUGGGCUGCUUCAGAAUCUGGAAACCUUCAACUCAUGCAUACCCAUUCCGAGGAGCAUUGGAUUGAGCAGCUUCUAUCUGUUCUCACUGAUCCCACAAUUCAACCUAGUCACAAUUACUUGUCUAAAAUCCAGUGGAAGAUCUUUGCAGCUACUUGAUAUGUGUUACUGGAUUAAGCAGCUUCUAUCUGUUCUCAAGUGAUCCCACAAUUCCACUGUAGUCGCAGUUUUAAUCAAAUGGAAGAUUUUUCUCAUAGUUAUUAUCGCUGGAUCAAUCUUCUGGUGUUAUUGCUGUCGGUGCAUGAAGGUCUCCAUUUCUGGAAGUUGUGACUCCAUCUGCAUUCGGUCAAGCAUUAUAGUUCGCACAGUAUGGCCUUUGUUACAUGCCUGGCACGUAGUAGGUGUUCUUCCUAGUAUGCUGGGAAUUUAUCUUGUGCUAUCGAGCAGGAGAUAAAGGGUUUGAGCCUAAUAGAAGCUCUCUUUCUUGGGAACUUUAGAUGGCUGCUAUCAGUCUGCUGAGCUCAUCUGUUUCCCUGAAGAGUUACGAUGGGAGUAUCAAAUAGACAUGUAUCAGCAACGUCAUCAGUCUGUUGAGCUAAUCUGUUUCCCUGACUGAAGAGUUAGUAUGGGAGUAUCAAAUAAAAGUGUAUCGGCAACGUCAGAAUGGUUAGGAACCUUCAUACAACAGUUACUAGAGGCAGCACCAGAGCAAUUCAUUCUUCGAAAGCCUGAAUAUCGCUGUUGAUAUUUUUAUAUAUUGUCCGGUUGUUGGCUUUCUCAAUAUUUCCCUUCCUGGAAGCAUGUUUCUCAGUGUACGUUUGUAAGCUCUGUUGAGAUGUAUCGCAUGAUGCUAGUGCCCUUGAUAGACUUUCUGCUUUGCUCUGGUUCUUGGGCAAUGGGAGUACGCACCCUCUUUGGCAUGCAUCGUCCGGGAAAGACGCCGGUUCUGCUCUGCUCCCUCCACAAGAGCAACUGCGUCCGCAUGUUGGGCCUGCCAUCGUUCGAGGAUAUUGGCACGCUCUCCUCCAAAACAGAAGUGAAGACCAUCGAACUCGCCCAGGGGCCAUCGAGGCUUCUCUUGACUGGAGAUGGCGCGGGCGAGCUGAAGGUGUGGACGUGGGCGCCCCAGGACGAGGAGUCCCCCAGCACCGGCGCUGCCAUAAACGUCAGCUAGACAUGCAUAGUCGAUCAUGGCAUCAUGCUCAUGCAUGCGCUGAGCUGAGCUAGCUCCACCGCUGUGAUGUCUGUAAAUUAUUAUGCCAUCCAAGUAAAAUAACAAGUCGUCAUUUCCCAAA
Molecule: RNA transcript, 2411 nt
Organism: Triticum aestivum (bread wheat)
Lineage: Eukaryota; Viridiplantae; Streptophyta; Magnoliopsida; Poales; Poaceae
Gene name: zinc finger CCCH domain-containing protein 17
Exons: 8
Source: RefSeq, a predicted model, not a curated record